Molecule: ribosomal RNA, 443 nt
Filed under: uncultured bacterium
Lineage: Bacteria
Description: partial 16S ribosomal RNA
Rfam family: Bacterial small subunit ribosomal RNA
Source: RNAcentral
CCUACGGGGGGCUGCAGUGGGGAAUAUUGGGCAAUGGGCGCAAGCCUGACCCAGCAACGCCGCGUGAAGGAAGAAGGCUUUCGGGUUGUAAACUUCUUUUCUCAGGGACGAAGCAAGUGACGGUACCUGAGGAAUAAGCCACGGCUAACUACGUGCCAGCAGCCGCGGUAAUACGUAGGUGGCAAGCGUUAUCCGGAUUUACUGGGUGUAAAGGGCGGGUAGGCGGGAAAGCAAGUCAGAUGUGAAAACCAUGGGCUCAACCUGUGGCCUGCAUUUGAAACUGUUUUUCUUGAGUACUGGAGAGGCAGACGGAAUUCCUAGUGUAGCGGUGAAAUGCGUAGAUAUUAGGAGGAACACCAGUGGCGAAGGCGGUCUGCUGGACAGCAACUGACGCUGAGGCGCGAAAGCGUGGGGAGCAAACAGGAUUAGAUACCCCAGUAGUC